RNAcentral lists this ribosomal RNA (819 nucleotides) under uncultured Oscillospiraceae bacterium. RNAcentral describes it as "bacterial SSU rRNA". It matches the Rfam family "Bacterial small subunit ribosomal RNA", at positions 119 to 953 of the family's 1533-position model. Lineage: Bacteria; Bacillati; Bacillota; Clostridia; Eubacteriales; Oscillospiraceae. The record is from RNAcentral.
GAGUAACCUGCCCUAGAGUGGGGGACAACAGUUGGAAACGACUGCUAAUACCGCAUAAGCCCACGGUACCGCAUGGUACUGAGGGAAAAGGAUUUAUUCGCUUUAGGAUGGACUCGCGUCCAAUUAGCUAGUUGGUGAGGUAACGGCCCACCAAGGCGACGAUUGGUAGCCGGACUGAGAGGUUGAACGGCCACAUUGGGACUGAGACACGGCCCAGACUCCUACGGGAGGCAGCAGUGGGGGAUAUUGCACAAUGGGGGAAACCCUGAUGCAGCGACGCCGCGUGGAGGAAGAAGGUUUUCGGAUUGUAAACUCCUGUCGUUAGGGACGAUAAUGACGGUACCUAACAAGAAAGCACCGGCUAACUACGUGCCAGCAGCCGCGGUAAAACGUAGGGUGCAAGCGUUGUCCGGAAUUACUGGGUGUAAAGGGAGCGCAGGCGGGAAGACAAGUUGGAAGUGAAAACCAUGGGCUCAACCCAUGAAUUGCUUUCAAAACUGUUUUUCUUGAGUAGUGCAGAGGUAGAUGGAAUUCCCGGUGUAGCGGUGGAAUGCGUAGAUAUCGGGAGGAACACCAGUGGCGAAGGCGGUCUACUGGGCACCAACUGACGCUGAGGCUCGAAAGCAUGGGUAGCAAACAGGAUUAGAUACCCUGGUAGUCCAUGCCGUAAACGAUGAUUACUAGGUGUUGGGGGAUUGACCCCCUCAGUGCCGCAGUUAACACAAUAAGUAAUCCACCUGGGGAGUACGACCGCAAGGUUGAAACUCAAAGGAAUUGACGGGGGCCCGCACAAGCAGUGGAGUAUGUGGGUUUAAUUCG